This 861-nucleotide long non-coding RNA is filed under the name Spirodela polyrhiza (greater duckweed). RNAcentral's name for it is "long non-coding RNA (SPOL_LNC000282)". The record is from RNAcentral. Lineage: Eukaryota; Viridiplantae; Streptophyta; Magnoliopsida; Alismatales; Araceae.
GUGUGAUCGAGAACGAAUGGCGGGUAUCAUCAGAUAACCCGUGCGGCAGCCGCUUCCGUCGCCCGCGCGAAAAUGGCUUCUCCGGCUCUCGCUCUUCGUCCCCACGUAGCUGCUUCUCUCCCCCCUCGGGGGAGGUCCUCCGCGGAUCGAGGGCGUCUGAGGGUUUCGAGCUCCCUCGGCGCGGGGCGGCGCGGGGCGAAUUUGACGGCGGAGGGGUUAAGAAAGUGGGCGGCGGAUUCCGGAUUGAAGGUGGCGAAGGUCCUCCUCUCCGGGGCGGUGGUUCUCGGAGUGUCUCUUUCUGGUGUGUGUACGUCUGCGUAAUCUCCGAUUGCUCCCGCUUUUCUCGCUGCUCCGUGCGCGUUGCUCUGUCUCCGAUCUCCGAUCAUGAUAUCAGCCGGGCUCUCUGAAUUCGUCUUCUUCUUCUCUGAUUCCUUUCCGUAGCCGCCGUAUAAGGAAGGGGAUCACUUCCCUGCCGUCAUGGCGAACUCGAAAUGCGAAAGUUUCAGGGUUCCGUGAUGGUGUUCUUUCUGCUGCUUUUGCUUGGAUGAAGCUCACUCAUGGCGAUGCAACGAACAUGGAUUAUCGAUAACGAUUAGACAUUCGUCAGAGAUUUACCUGUGGCGUUCAUUCAGAAGCACAUAAACGGAGGAGAAUAGCGGAUUGGAACAUAAACAGAGACAGACCAAAAAAAAAAAAAACGGUUCCUAGCGUUCCUCUUGGGAAUGAUACCUGGCCUUGUUCUUGGAGACGCCAGGCCAACUCUUCUUUCUCUUUAUAUGGCGUACAGUGAGUUCGGAAAUCCUGAAGCAUAUACUUCGACUCUCUGGAAUAAUAAAAUAUCAUACGAUGUGCUCAUCCACC